RNAcentral lists this ribosomal RNA (116 nucleotides) under Streptomyces smaragdinus. Lineage: Bacteria; Bacillati; Actinomycetota; Actinomycetes; Kitasatosporales; Streptomycetaceae. The record is from RNAcentral.
CGGUGGUUAUAGCGAUUGGGAAACGCCCGGUUACAUUCCGAACCCGGAAGCUAAGCCUUUCCGCGCCGAUGGUACUGCAGGGGGGACCCUGUGGGAGAGUAGGUCGCUGCCGAACA